Molecule: ribosomal RNA, 460 nt
Filed under: uncultured bacterium
Lineage: Bacteria
Description: partial 16S ribosomal RNA
Rfam family: Bacterial small subunit ribosomal RNA
Source: RNAcentral
CCUACGGGUGGCUGCAGUGAGGAAUAUUGGUCAAUGGGCGUAAGCCUGAACCAGCCAAGUCGCGUGAGGGAUGACGGCUCUAUGGAUCGUAAACCUCUUUUAUCAGGGAGUAAAGUGUAGGUCGUGUCCUAUUGUGUAUGUACCUUAUGAAUAAGCAUCGGCUAACUCCGUGCCAGCAGCCGCGGUAAUACGGAGGAUCCGAGCGUUAUCCGGAUUUAUUGGGUUUAAAGGGAGCGUAGGCGGGUUGUUAAGUCAGUGGUGAAAGUUUGCGGCUCAACCGUAGAAUUGCCGUUGAUACUGGCAGUCUUGAGUAUAGUUGAGGUAGGCGGAAUGCGUGGUGUAGCGGUGAAAUGCUUAGAUAUCACGCAGAACCCCGAUUGCGAAGGCAGCCUACUAAACCAUGACUGACGCUGAUGCACGAAAGCGUGGGGAUCAAACAGGAUUAGAUACCCUAGUAGUC